Molecule: long non-coding RNA, 340 nt
Organism: Tripterygium wilfordii
Lineage: Eukaryota; Viridiplantae; Streptophyta; Magnoliopsida; Celastrales; Celastraceae
Exons: 4
Source: RefSeq, a predicted model, not a curated record
AAUAAAAAAAGGGAAAAGUUGCUUUGCUUCUUCUCUCCACACCCUCGGCCAGCUGCUUUCGGCGAUGUUCCAGCGAGUCUUCCUGCCGGCAAGGUACUCUCCUCUCUAGGACCACACACAUGCUUCAAUUUCUUACAAGAAAAUAGAAGAUUAAGAUUCAAGUGUGGGUUUUGAAUCAAUUCUAGAGAAGAGGUUGAUUUCUUGAAUUGAAGACACUAACAAGCUUCAAGGUUAGUGAAGUACACGUUGCGUUUGUGGUAAGAUGCAAUUCGCUUUGAGGUGAGUCUAGUUCCGGUACCAGGGUCGCGGAUUAGGAGGAAGGCGCAUGACAUGGAUGGAC